CUUUGCUCAUUGACGUUACCCGCAGAAGAAGCACCGGCUAACUCCGUGCCAGCAGCCGCGGUAAUACGGAGGGUGCAAGCGUUAAUCGGAAUUACUGGGCGUAAAGCGCACGCAGGCGGUUUGUUAAGUCAGAUGUGAAAUCCCCGGGCUCAACCUGGGAACUGCAUCUGAUACUGGCAAGCUUGAGUCUCGUAGAGGGGGGUAGAAUUCCAGGUGUAGCGGUGAAAUGCGUAGAGAUCUGGAGGAAUACCGGUGGCGAAGGCGGCCCCCUGGACGAAGACUGACGCUCAGGUGCGAAAGCGUGGGGAGCAAACAGGAUU
RNAcentral lists this ribosomal RNA (320 nucleotides) under Shigella flexneri. RNAcentral describes it as "bacterial SSU rRNA". It matches the Rfam family "Bacterial small subunit ribosomal RNA", at positions 460 to 779 of the family's 1533-position model. The record is from RNAcentral. Lineage: Bacteria; Pseudomonadati; Pseudomonadota; Gammaproteobacteria; Enterobacterales; Enterobacteriaceae.